RNAcentral lists this ribosomal RNA (315 nucleotides) under Triticum aestivum (bread wheat). RNAcentral's name for it is "partial small subunit ribosomal RNA". The record is from RNAcentral. Lineage: Eukaryota; Viridiplantae; Streptophyta; Magnoliopsida; Poales; Poaceae.
AUGAACUAUGAAGUGUUUUCCGUUAUCAAGAGUCCAUCAUUAACCCAAGGAGAGGACAAGGAGGUGUCUGGUGAACUCAACGGCAAUUCACCGAGAUUCCCAAAAGAUGGAUUUCCACCAUUAAGUGAACAAGGAGAUAACAUUUGUCAGAUCAAACGAUAUAAGGAAGUAUGCUCAAGGAAAACAUACACAAUUAAUCAUUGGUUGAGAGGUGCGCCCGAAAUAUGGGUUGGGUUGCACGACCAAUGUCAGAAUGGUGAUUCAAUUAGCGAAGGACUUAGGAUGAACUAUCGCCCAUUCACUUCAAAGCAAUAG